RNAcentral lists this ribosomal RNA (99 nucleotides) under Betaproteobacteria bacterium TMED82. RNAcentral's name for it is "partial 16S ribosomal RNA". It matches the Rfam family "Bacterial small subunit ribosomal RNA", at positions 1 to 94 of the family's 1533-position model. The record is from RNAcentral. Lineage: Bacteria; Pseudomonadati; Pseudomonadota; Betaproteobacteria.
GAUCAAACUGAAGAGUUUGAUCCUGGCUCAGAUUAAACGCUAGCGGCAUGCCUUACACAUGCAAGUCGAACGGCAGCGGGCUCUUCGGAGUGCCGGCGA